GUAACAGUGUACUUUUGGACAGGGACGUGGUGGCGGUUGGGGAGCGUCGGAAGUGGCUGGCAAUCCUUCGUACCCUUUGCACGAUGUCACUCAACCUUAGGUAUGUGCGUAGGAACUUCUGUACCACAAGGUUGAGGACAUGUGCCAUGCAG
Molecule: long non-coding RNA, 152 nt
Organism: Bufo bufo (common toad)
Lineage: Eukaryota; Metazoa; Chordata; Amphibia; Anura; Bufonidae
Exons: 3
Source: RefSeq, a predicted model, not a curated record